RNAcentral lists this ribosomal RNA (492 nucleotides) under uncultured bacterium. RNAcentral describes it as "partial 16S ribosomal RNA". It matches the Rfam family "Bacterial small subunit ribosomal RNA", at positions 29 to 507 of the family's 1533-position model. The record is from RNAcentral.
AGUGAACGCUGGCGGUAGGCCUAACACAUGCAAGUCGAACGGCAGCACAGUAAGAGCUUGCUCUUACGGGUGGCGAGUGGCGGACGGGUGAGGAAUACAUCGGAAUCUACUUUUUCGUGGGGGAUAACGUAGGGAAACUUACGCUAAUACCGCAUACGACCUACGGGUGAAAGCAGGGGAUCUUCGGACCUUGCGCGAUUGAAUGAGCCGAGGUCGGAUUAGCUAGUUGGCGGGGUAAAGGCCCACCAAGGCGACGAUCCGUAGCUGGUCUGAGAGGAUGAUCAGCCACACUGGAACUGAGACACGGUCCGGACUCCUACGGGAGGCAGCAGUGGGGAAUAUUGGACAAUGGGCGCAAGCCUGAUCCAGCCAUACCGCGUGGGUGAAGAAGGCCUUCGGGUUGUAAAGCCCUUUUGUUGGGAAAGAAAAGCAGCAGGUUAAUACCCCGCUGUUCUGACGGUACCCAAAGAAUAAGCACCGGCUAACUUCGUG